RNAcentral lists this ribosomal RNA (1522 nucleotides) under metagenome. RNAcentral describes it as "bacterial SSU rRNA". It matches the Rfam family "Bacterial small subunit ribosomal RNA". The record is from RNAcentral.
AGAGUUUGAUCAUGGCUCAGAUUGAACGCUGGCGGCAGGCCUAACACAUGCAAGUCGAACGGUAACAGGAAACAGCUUGCUGUUUCGCUGACGAGUGGCGGACGGGUGAGUAAUGUCUGGGAAACUGCCUGAUGGAGGGGGAUAACUACUGGAAACGGUAGCUAAUACCGCAUAACGUCGCAAGACCAAAGAGGGGGACCUUCGGGCCUCUUGCCAUCAGAUGUGCCCAGAUGGGAUUAGCUAGUAGGUGGGGUAACGGCUCACCUAGGCGACGAUCCCUAGCUGGUCUGAGAGGAUGACCAGCCACACUGGAACUGAGACACGGUCCAGACUCCUACGGGAGGCAGCAGUGGGGAAUAUUGCACAAUGGGCGCAAGCCUGAUGCAGCCAUGCCGCGUGUAUGAAGAAGGCCUUCGGGUUGUAAAGUACUUUCAGCGGGGAGGAAGGGAGUAAAGUUAAUACCUUUGCUCAUUGACGUUACCCGCAGAAGAAGCACCGGCUAACUCCGUGCCAGCAGCCGCGGUAAUACGGAGGGUGCAAGCGUUAAUCGGAAUUACUGGGCGUAAAGCGCACGCAGGCGGUUUGUUAAGUCAGAUGUGAAAUCCCCGGGCUCAACCUGGGAACUGCAUCUGAUACUGGCAAGCUUGAGUCUCGUAGAGGGGGGUAGAAUUCCAGGUGUAGCGGUGAAAUGCGUAGAGAUCUGGAGGAAUACCGGUGGCGAAGGCGGCCCCCUGGACGAAGACUGACGCUCAGGUGCGAAAGCGUGGGGAGCAAACAGGAUUAGAUACCCUGGUAGUCCACGCCGUAAACGAUGUCGACUUGGAGGUUGUGCCCUUGAGGCGUGGCUUCCGGAGCUAACGCGUUAAGUCGACCGCCUGGGGAGUACGGCCGCAAGGUUAAAACUCAAAUGAAUUGACGGGGGCCCGCACAAGCGGUGGAGCAUGUGGUUUAAUUCGAUGCAACGCGAAGAACCUUACCUGGUCUUGACAUCCACGGAAGUUUUCAGAGAUGAGAAUGUGCCUUCGGGAACCGUGAGACAGGUGCUGCAUGGCUGUCGUCAGCUCGUGUUGUGAAAUGUUGGGUUAAGUCCCGCAACGAGCGCAACCCUUAUCCUUUGUUGCCGGCGGUCCGGCCGGGAACUCAAAGGAGACUGCCAGUGAUAAACUGGAGGAAGGUGGGGAUGACGUCAAGUCAUCAUGGCCCUUACGACCAGGGCUACACACGUGCUACAGUGGCGCAUACAAAGAGAAGCGACCUCGCGAGAGCAAGCGGACCUCAUAAAGUGCGUCGUAGUCCGGAUUGGAGUCUGCAACUCGACUCCAUGAAGUCGGAAUCGCUAGUAAUCGUGGAUCAGAAUGCCACGGUGAAUACGUUCCCGGGCCUUGUACACACCGCCCGUCACACCAUGGGAGUGGGUUGCAAAAGAAGUAGGUAGCUUAACCUUCGGGAGGGCGCUUACCACUUUGUGAUUCAUGACUGGGGUGAAGUCGUAACAAGGUAACCGUAGGGGAACCUGCGGUUG